Long non-coding RNA from Biomphalaria glabrata, 1896 nucleotides. RefSeq lists it as uncharacterized. The record is from RefSeq and is a predicted model, not a curated record. Lineage: Eukaryota; Metazoa; Mollusca; Gastropoda; Planorbidae. The transcript has 3 exons.
AUAUUGAUCGAUCGGCGUUCAUUUCUAUAAAGAAUGUAAAGACACCCUGCAUUUUAAUGUAUUGAAUUUUAUGUGCAGUUUUAAACUGAUUAUAAAUCUGAUAAAUGAUACUGUCGCGUAGUUAUUCUAACUCUGUUUAUUUAUUUCCUCUACUCGUAGUACUUGUACGGGGCGAGAGUGUCUUUUAGUUGUGUUUUGAAUUGUUUUGCUACUUCACAAAGUCCGGUGACAUCUAUUGGUCACUCUUUGUCAUGAGGCAGUUCACCCUCUGACUUUGGUUUGAACGGACGGUGUGUUGGUCCGUAAAAGGUUAUUAUAUCUAUAGUCUGUACUAGUUUUCUUGGAUUUGUUAUUCAGUUGGAAUUUUGGACCUCUGUUUAGGGGUGACAGUGUUGGAGUUGUAUAUACUGAGCUCGAGUCUAUGCUAGUGUGGGCGUCGCUUGCCGUCUCAGAAAUAUAUAUUACAGUUUUCAGUGUCAUUGUCAAAUUGGCGAUCAUCUGAGGUCUAACUUUACUAUUACCGAGGUUGGCAGCUUUGUGACUCCAGUCGGUCAGAAUCUGGUGGACUAUGAAACCAGGGUGACAAGUUGAUAGCAGUAGCAAAGCUAUAUUUCAAAAAUAAGAUUACACGCUUCUUAAAGGUUCAACUGACAUCGACAGUCAACUUUAACAUUUCUAAAGGAAACGUCUAUGCUUAAAAUCUUUAAAUUGUUUCAUGCUAUUGAUAUACAUAUUGCAAGGACAUUGUUGAAAAUCAAAUUCUACACAUAAUACAUGGAGGUUUCAUGCUGCGAAGACGAUUCAGGAAAAGUUUGUUUGUGUCAUAUGAACAAGAUUUUCUGGAAUUUUUUUGCAAAAAAGGUUCAAUGUUUAAGUAUAGUUUUUGAGAAGAAAAAAAAAAGAAGAGAGAGUGAGAGAGGGAAUAGAAAGAGUAAAGGGAGACAGAGCGGGGAGGAGAGGGAGAAAGAGAAUGGGAAGAGAGAAUUGAAGAGCAGAGAGACAGAGAGUGUGAGGUAGAGAGAGAGAGAGAGAGAGAUAUUAGAAGAGACACAGAGAUAAAAAGAAAUAAGAAACUGGAGAAAAUAAAUGUACAUUUUGAUAAUUAUAAAGUACCUAAACUGUAAAUAUAUUUUAAACUGAAUUGCCUGUUGUUUAACUUGCUGAUUUUUAACACUAUUUUGUAUUAUAGAGGAUAUAGUAUCACAUCUAGCUGUUACUUACAAUAAUACUUUUUGUGGAUGUACAUAGUUUAUCUGCUUCCUGGUCAUCAAUAUACUAAAACUUUAGGAAGCCAGUGCAGAGAUUAACGCUUUCAAAAAAAAAUUAAAUAAUCUAAGCUUUUACAAAUCUAAUCUUCAUUAAACCUUAUGGUAGAUUAGGGUACAAAUAUCACACCCAUUUAAGUUGAGAGGAAACAGAAAACCCGGGAAAGUUUGGUGCCAACAUAAAACCUAUGAAAGUUGGGUGCUAACAUCACGUAAUUCAAAAUCCAAGACUUCACUUGGAUUCGAACCAGAGACUCCUCGGUUCGGAAGCCAAGCGCUUUACCAGUAAUCCACCUAUUAUGCUGAUAAAAUAAGAAAAAAUUGUCUGUAAAUAAAUGAAUCUCAAAAAGUACUUAAAAAAUGUAAUUCUCGAUAAAAUGUAAAAAAAUUUUCUAACCUGUUUCGUUCAGAAGAUUGAUCACUCUACUUUUCAUGUCCUCGGGCAACAAAUGUAUCCCACCUUUACCUGGGCAUAGACAGACAAGUGAAAUUGAAGUAAAAAUACUACAUGGUUUAUUCUUAUUACUUGGUAUAGUGAGAAAAAUAAUAAUGAAGUGGCAGAUGUUGAGUUGUGAUAUCACUAGACAACACUAAAAUUUCGGAACUGGUAAGAAACAGAUAUUUAAAUAAA